Molecule: ribosomal RNA, 253 nt
Filed under: uncultured bacterium
Lineage: Bacteria
Description: partial 16S ribosomal RNA
Rfam family: Bacterial small subunit ribosomal RNA
Source: RNAcentral
UACGUAUGGGGCAAGCGUUAUCCGGAUUUACUGGGUGUAAAGGGAGCGUAGGCGGCGGGGCAAGCCUGAUGUGAAAGCCCGGGGCUCAACCCCGGGACUGCAUUGGGAACUGCCCUGCUGGAGUGCCGGGGGGGCAGGCGGAAUUCCUAGUGUAGCGGUGAAAUGCGUAGAUAUUAGGAGGAACACCAGUGGCGAAGGCGGCCUGCUGGACGGUGACUGACGCUGAGGCUCGAAAGCGUGGGGAGCAAACAGG